This 348-nucleotide ribosomal RNA is filed under the name Triticum aestivum (bread wheat). Its description in RNAcentral is "partial small subunit ribosomal RNA". Lineage: Eukaryota; Viridiplantae; Streptophyta; Magnoliopsida; Poales; Poaceae. The record is from RNAcentral.
AUGGAAAGUAAUAGAGCCCCUGGCCCUGAUAAUAUACCAUCGGAGUUUUGUAAACAUUGUUGGGAUUUUGUUAAGAAAGACAUUAUGCGGUUGUUCGAAGCCUUCCAUAACAACACACUGGAUGUUGCUGGUUUGAACUAUGGGAUAACUACUUUGAUACAAAAAAUGAACGGGGCGAAAAAAAUUCAACAAUACCGCCCCAUAUGCCUUCUUAGAUGCCCAUAUAAGCUGAUCACCGAAGCGCUUGAUAACAGAGUUGUCGUAUUUGCGGACAAGCUGAUUAGAAAGCACCAAAAUGCGUUCAUCAAGAAUAGGAACAUUAUGGAUGGAAUCCUCACUUUGCAUUAG